This is a non-coding RNA of Rattus norvegicus (Norway rat), 477 nucleotides long. Lineage: Eukaryota; Metazoa; Chordata; Mammalia; Rodentia; Muridae. The record is from RefSeq and is a predicted model, not a curated record.
UGGCACUAUUGUGGGUACCUAGAAGUGCUGAUGGAGCUGCCGAUCCCUCCUCUGCUCCUCUGCCAGGACAAGCACUUUCACAGGACCUAGUCAAUAUCCCAUCAUGAGGCCGCCUCUCUCUGGGUGGUGUAUUCUGCCAUGAUGACAGGUUCCUAAAUCCUGACUUCUACACAGACACCCAAAGUUAGCCCUGAGGACAUAUCUGCCGACAGCUGUGAUGAUGCCAGUAAUUUUACAAUUACACAAGGAAAGGGGAAAAGUGAGAGAAGCAGCAGUGUCAAUCCACAUCAAGAGUCAAGUGCCAGGGACCGGGCCAAGAGCAGCACACAAACCUACAUCAGGACCCGAAUUGGCCAGUCACCAGCUUGAUCUCUAGCUUGAGAUCAGAAACAUCUAUCCUUGGAAUCCAAUGGUUGAAACUUGAGAGUACCUAUCCUACAAAAUGACGGGAAAGAUUAAAUAAGAUCACUUUUUAAA